RNAcentral lists this ribosomal RNA (380 nucleotides) under uncultured eukaryote. RNAcentral's name for it is "partial 18S ribosomal RNA". It matches the Rfam family "Eukaryotic small subunit ribosomal RNA", at positions 592 to 976 of the family's 1831-position model. The record is from RNAcentral.
CAAUAGCGUAUAUUAAAGUUGUUGCGGUUAAAAAGCUCGUAGUUGGAUUUCUGUUGGGAACGACCGGUCCGCCCAUUGGGUGUGUAUCUGGCUUGUUCUCGGCAUCUUCUUGGUGAACGUUGCUGCACUUGACUGUGUGGAGCGCUACCCAGGACUUUUACUUUGAGGAAAUUAGAGUGUUUCAAGCAGGCAUAUGCCUUGAAUACAUUAGCAUGGAAUAGUAAGAUAGGACCUCGGUUCUAUUUUGUUGGUUUCUAGAGCUGAGGUAAUGAUUAAUAGGGAUAGUUGGGGGCAUUCGUAUUUAACUAUCAGAGGUGAAAUUCUUGGAUUUGUUAAAGACGGACUACUGCGAAAGCAUUUGCCAAGGAUGUUUUCAUUGA